UGAUGCAGCGACGCCGCGUGAGGGAUGACGGCCUUCGGGUUGUAAACCUCUUUCAGUAGGGAAGAAGCGAAAGUGACGGUACCUGCAGAAGAAGCACCGGCUAACUACGUGCCAGCAGCCGCGGUAAUACGUAGGGUGCGAGCGUUAUCCGGAAUUAUUGGGCGUAAAGAGCUCGUAGGCGGUUUGUCGCGUCUGUCGUGAAAGUCCGGGGCUUAACCCCGGAUCUGCGGUGGGUACGGGCAGACUAGAGUGCAGUAGGGGAGACUGGAAUUCCUGGUGUAGCGGUGGAAUGCGCAGAUAUCAGGAGGAACACCGAUGGCGAAGGCAGGUCUCUGGGCUGUAACUGACGCUGAGGAGCGAAAGCAUGGGGAGCGAACAGGAUUAGAUACCCUGGUAGUCCAUGCCGUAAACGUUGGGCACUAGGUGUGGGGACCAUUCCACGGUUUCCGCGCCGCAGCUAACGCAUUAAGUGCCCCGCCUGGGGAGUACGGCCGCAAGGCUAAAACUCAAAGGAAUUGACGGGGGCCCGCACAAGCGGCGGAGCAUGCGGAUUAAUUCGAUGCAACGCGAAGAACCUUACCAAGGCUUGACAUGUUCUCGAUCGCCGUAGAGAUACGGUUUCCCCUUUGGGG
Molecule: ribosomal RNA, 632 nt
Filed under: Micrococcus sp. So2Pt_160
Lineage: Bacteria; Bacillati; Actinomycetota; Actinomycetes; Micrococcales; Micrococcaceae
Description: bacterial SSU rRNA
Rfam family: Bacterial small subunit ribosomal RNA
Source: RNAcentral